RNAcentral lists this ribosomal RNA (301 nucleotides) under uncultured bacterium. RNAcentral's name for it is "partial 16S ribosomal RNA". It matches the Rfam family "Bacterial small subunit ribosomal RNA", at positions 509 to 808 of the family's 1533-position model. The record is from RNAcentral.
CAGUAGCCGCGUAAUACGAAGGGGGCUAGCGUUGCUCGGAAUGACUGGGCGUAAAGGGCGCGUAGGCGGCGAUCAAAGUCAGGCGUGAAAUUCCUGGGCUCAACCUGGGGGCUGCGCUUGAUACUUGGUUGCUUGAGUGGGGAAGAGGGUCGUGGAAUUCCCAGUGUAGAGGUGAAAUUCGUAGAUAUUGGGAAGAACACCGGUGGCGAAGGCGGCGACCUGGUCCUUGACUGACGCUGAGGCGCGAAAGCGUGGGGAGCAAACAGGAUUAGAUACCCGCGUAGUCCCUGUCUCUUAUACC